GAUGAACGCUGGCGGCGUGCCUAACACAUGCAAGUCGAGCGAAAAGACGAGGAGCUUGCUUCUCUGACGUUAGCGGCGGACGGGUGAGUAACAAGUGGAUCACCACCUUCUAAGACUGGGGUAAAUUCGGGAAUACGGCGCUAAUAUAGGACAAUAUAUUGGCCCGCAUGGUUCAAUAGUUAUCGGCGGUUUUGCUGCCCCCUGUCGAUGGAUCCGGGCCGCAUUAGCUAGUUGGUAAGGUAAAGGCCUGCCAAGGCAGCGUGGCGUAGCCGACCUGAGAGGGUGAUCGGCCACACGGGAAGGGAGACACGGUCCAGACGCCUACGGGAGGCAGCAGGAGGGAAGCUGCCGCAAGGGGCGAAGACCUGACGGAGCAACGCCGCGGGAGGGAUGAAGGUCGUCGGGUCGGAAAACUCUGUUAUUAGGUAAGAAAAAAUGUGGAAGAAACUAUGCGCGUCUGGACGGUAACUAAUCAAAAAGCCACGGCUAACUACGUG
RNAcentral lists this ribosomal RNA (497 nucleotides) under uncultured bacterium. Its description in RNAcentral is "partial 16S ribosomal RNA". It matches the Rfam family "Bacterial small subunit ribosomal RNA", at positions 28 to 507 of the family's 1533-position model. The record is from RNAcentral.